This 339-nucleotide ribosomal RNA is filed under the name Triticum aestivum (bread wheat). RNAcentral's name for it is "partial small subunit ribosomal RNA". The record is from RNAcentral. Lineage: Eukaryota; Viridiplantae; Streptophyta; Magnoliopsida; Poales; Poaceae.
AUGGUCCGUAUUCGUGACUCCGAUGUGCAAUACAAGCUCACCACCGUGUACGGCCCCGCGGAUUCUUCUCGCAAAGAUGCCUUCUUCGCGGAGCUUAUCAGCCAAAAACCGCCCAAUGGCAUGCCAUGGCUUGCGGCUGGGGAUUUCAACCAAAUUUAUCGUGCAAGAGACAAAAAUAAAAGGCAUGUUAAUCGAAGUAGAAUUAAUCGGUUUCGAGCGACACUGCAAAGUUGUGAGCUUAAAGAGAUACACCUGCAAAAUAGGAGGUUCACUUGGAGCAACGAGAGGGAAAACCCGACUAUGUGCAAACUGGACUUGUUUUUUUGCAAUGCCGAGUGG